GGAAGGGUGAAAAGUACCCCGGGAGGGGAGUGAAAGAGUUCCUGAAACCGGUCGCAUGCAAGCCGUCAGAGCCUGUGUGGUGAUGGCGUGCCUUUUGAAGAAUGAGCCUGCGAGUUAGUGCUAUGUGGCGAGGUUAACCCGUGAGGGGAAUCCGUAGCGAAAGCGAGUCCUAAUAGGGCGAUUGAGUCGCAUGGUCUAGACCCGAAGCGAAGUGAUCUAUCCAUGGCCAGGCUGAAGCGCGGGUAAGACCGCGUGGAGGGCCGAACCCACUUGGGUUGAAAACCGAGGGGAUGAGCUGUGGAUAGGGGUGAAAGGCUAAACAAACCUGGAAAUAGCUGGUUCUCUCCGAAAACUAUUUAGGUAGUGCCUCAAGUAUCACCAUCGGGGGUAGAGCACUGUUAUGGCUAGGGGGUCAUCGCGACUUACCAAACCAUUGCAAACUCCGAAUACCAGUACGUACUAUCCGGGAGACACACGGCGGGUGCUAACGUCCGUCGUGAAAAGGGAAACAACCCAGACCCACAGCUAAGGUCCCAAAUUCACUGCUAAGUGGAAAACGAUGUGGAAAGGCAUAGACAGCCAGGAGGUUGGCUUAGAAGCAGCCACCCUUUAAAGAAAGCGUAAUAGCUCACUAGUCGAGUCGGCCUGCGCGGAAGAUGUAACGGGGCUAAAUCAUUCACCGAAGCUGCGGACUUGUGCUUGCACAAGUGGUAGAGGAGCGUUCUGUAAGCCGUUGAAGGUAAACCGGGAGGUUUGCUGGAGGUAUCAGAAGUGCGAAUGCUGACAUGAGUAACGAUAAGGGGAGUGAAAAACUUCCCCGCCGAAAGACCAAGGGUUCCUAUCCCAUGCUAAUCAGGGUAGGGUGAGUCGACUCCUAAGGCGAGGCUGAAAAGCGUAGUCGAUGGGAAACGGGUUAAUAUUCCCGUACCGACCAAUACUGCGAUGGGGUGACGGAGAAAGCUAGGCAAGCGCGGCGUUGGUAGUCCGCGUGAAAGUAAGUAGGCUGAGAGACUAGGCAAAUCCGGUUUCUUAAGGCUGAGAUACGAGACGAGUGUCUAAGGACACGAAGUUGUUGACGCUAUGCUUCCAGGAAAAACCUCUAAGCUUCAGGUAUUGGUGAUCGUACCCGAAACCGACACAGGUGGUCAGGUAGAGCAUACCAAGGCGCUUGAGAGAACUCUGCUGAAGGAACUAGGCAAAAUAGUACCGUAACUUCGGGAGAAGGUACGCUCUUUGCUGUUAAGGACUUGCUCCGUAAGCAGCGAAGAGUCGCAGUGACCAGCUGGCUGCAACUGUUUAUUAAAAACACAGCACUGUGCAAACACGAAAGUGGACGUAUACGGUGUGACGCCUGCCCGGUGCCGGAAGGUUAAU
Molecule: ribosomal RNA, 1374 nt
Filed under: Aurantiochytrium limacinum
Lineage: Eukaryota; Bigyra; Thraustochytrida; Thraustochytriidae
Description: partial Bacterial large subunit ribosomal RNA
Rfam family: Bacterial large subunit ribosomal RNA
Source: RNAcentral